This 76-nucleotide small RNA is filed under the name Xanthomonas fragariae. RNAcentral describes it as "sX9 sRNA". It matches the Rfam family "Xanthomonas sRNA sX9". The record is from RNAcentral. Lineage: Bacteria; Pseudomonadati; Pseudomonadota; Gammaproteobacteria; Lysobacterales; Lysobacteraceae.
AUGUACCAAUCGUACACUGCGGUUUCUCCGCGCCGUCCGCACCCACCUAGCGACUGCUCGCUACGUUUUGUUAGCC